RNAcentral lists this unclassified non-coding RNA (217 nucleotides) under Glomeraceae sp. RNAcentral's name for it is "partial contains 5.8S ribosomal RNA and internal transcribed spacer 2". The stretch from base 1 to 65 matches the Rfam family "5.8S ribosomal RNA", at positions 84 to 154 of the family's 154-position model. The record is from RNAcentral. Lineage: Eukaryota; Fungi; Glomeromycota; Glomeromycetes; Glomerales; Glomeraceae.
GUGAAUCAUCGAAUUUUUGAACGCAAAUUGCACUCUCCUCGAAGAGUAUGUCUGUUUGAGGGUCAGCCUAUGAAAAAUUGAAAUCGUUGGUGUUUCGCGGUUGCGUUCGUCGGAAAUUGGGUCGUCUUCGAUCUUUUGGUUUUAAGUGACUUUAAAUUUUCUCUUUAGUUUCUUGAACGUUUCUAAGAUUUAUUUCUUUACACGUUUAAGGUAUCGA